GACAGGGGGUGCAAGCGUUGCUCGGAAUCAUUGGGCGUAAAGCGCACGUAGGCGGUCUCGUAAGUCGGGUGUGAAAGCCCUCAGCCUAACUGAGGAACUGCGCCCGAUACUGCGAGGCUAGAGGAUGGGAGGGGAGAGUGGAAUUCCUGGUGGAGCGGUGAAAUGCGUAGAUAUCAGGAGGAAUACCAGUGGCGAAGGCGACUCUCUGGUCCAUUCCUGACGCUGAGGUGCGAGAGCUAGGGGAGCAAACGGG
RNAcentral lists this ribosomal RNA (253 nucleotides) under uncultured bacterium. RNAcentral's name for it is "partial 16S ribosomal RNA". It matches the Rfam family "Bacterial small subunit ribosomal RNA", at positions 524 to 776 of the family's 1533-position model. The record is from RNAcentral. RNAcentral also lists the same sequence under 1 other name.